GUUAUCCCUACAAGACGGGGGCAAGGUCUGUUGGAUUCUGGGCAAAGCCCACCCUCAGUCAGACAGUAGGGUCUAUAGCCGGGGCAUCAGAGAAAGAAAGGAAGACACAACUGGACUUGGAGGUGUGAAUGGUUCAAUAAUAACAGUAAAUAAAUGGAGAGGCACUGGAGAUACUUUAGUGAAUAAGACGUUGGAGGUCACUGACUUCACAGGACUUGGACCUGAAGAUGUUCUUUUAACAUCUGCAUCAGACAAGGAAAUCCGGACACGUAAACAUUUUAGCAAGCUACAUAAAAGGUUCCUCUGAAUUUACCCAGUGACUCACUUAACGUAACGACUCCACAGCCAGUAACAGACCACCAGCUGCUCUCUGACCUCUGAAGUAUGGAUCACUGUGCUGCGUACUCAGCUGUUCAUUCAGCAACUGUGGAUUCUUUUACAUGCAACAUGGUACUAGGCCCUUGCUUCUGGCAUCUACAAUCACAUUUGAAAACUUAUAUCAGCCACAGGUCAUUUGCAUCUCUCUUUGAAGACAGUAUGAGUGGAUACCAUUUGAUUAAAGGAGAUACAGGAGCUCGCACGAAGGAGACAUCACUUCUGGCUAGAGUUAACUAGGGAAGCGGAGGCUGCAGCUCUGAUGAGAACCUGCUUCAUCCGGGACAUUUUACGUAGAUUCUUGGAUUGGAUGUGGAUGCUGCACAAAGACCUUGGAGGUGGAGACCUUGAGUAAUGGAAAGAAUUAGGAAACGCAGAAAUGAAGUUUCAACUGAGAAUUUAUCCACGGCCCAAUGCUGGUCAGGCACCCAGAUGUUUUUAAGGAGAAAAACAAGUUUACUGAUAUAGCUGAAGCCAAUUGUGAACCCCUUGGAUCCCAUUCAUCUCCACAACCCCCGUGAG
Molecule: long non-coding RNA, 897 nt
Organism: Bos taurus (domestic cattle)
Lineage: Eukaryota; Metazoa; Chordata; Mammalia; Artiodactyla; Bovidae
Source: Ensembl